This 253-nucleotide ribosomal RNA is filed under the name uncultured bacterium. Its description in RNAcentral is "partial 16S ribosomal RNA". It matches the Rfam family "Bacterial small subunit ribosomal RNA", at positions 524 to 776 of the family's 1533-position model. The record is from RNAcentral.
UACAGGGGGGGCAAGCGUUGUUCGGAAUUACUGGGCGUAAAGGGCUCGUAGGUGGCCAACUAAGUCAGACGUGAAAUCCCUCAGCUUAACUGGGGAACUGCGUCUGAUACUGGAUGGCUUGAGUUUGGGAGAGGGAUGCGGAAUUCCCGGUGUAGCGGUGGAAUGCGUAGAGAUCGGGAAGAACAUCGGUGGCGAAGGCGGCCUGCUGGGCUCUUGCUGACACUGAUGCGCGACAGCGUGGGGAGCAAACAGG